This is a transfer RNA of Bifidobacterium actinocoloniiforme DSM 22766, 82 nucleotides long. It matches the Rfam family "tRNA". From Rfam's summary of the family: Transfer RNA (tRNA) molecules are approximately 80 nucleotides in length. Their secondary structure includes four short double-helical elements and three loops (D, anti-codon, and T loops). Further hydrogen bonds mediate the characteristic L-shaped molecular structure. tRNAs have two regions of fundamental functional importance: the anti-codon, which is responsible for specific mRNA codon recognition, and the 3' end, to which the tRNAs corresponding amino acid is attached (by aminoacyl-tRNA synthetases). tRNAs cope with the degeneracy of the genetic code in two manners: having more than one tRNA (with a specific anti-codon) for a particular amino acid; and 'wobble' base-pairing, i.e. permitting non-standard base-pairing at the 3rd anti-codon position. Lineage: Bacteria; Bacillati; Actinomycetota; Actinomycetes; Bifidobacteriales; Bifidobacteriaceae. The record is from Rfam.
GGCGGAUUUCCCAAGCGGUCAAAGGGAGCUGACUGUAAAUCAGCCGCGUAAUGCUUCAGUGGUUCGAAUCCACUAUCCGCCA